UUGCAUAGACUUUUGCAGAAGGAAAUCAGUCGUAGCAAGUCCUUGGUGCAAAGGUGCUGGGGACCUCGAAGAGGAGAAGAGAGGAGAAGGAGGCACACAGUGAACCCGCAAUUGGGAGGACUGGGGAACCCCUUCUCCCACCCUUAGAAACAUGGCCUGAGUUAUCUCCAGUGCCUGCAGGUAUGUGGCAGCAAAAAUUAGAACCUGCUGCUGCUUCUGCUGUAAAAAGGAUAAGGAGCAACCUGAAUCUUUAACUCAAGCUAAAGGUAACCCUGUGGGUGGAUGACGAAGAACACCUCAGAUGGCAAAGUUGCCCACAGAAUGCAACAGUUCCAUCCAGGGCCAGCCCAUGGGGGCAUGAGGCCAAUAAAGGACCACACAGUUCCUCUGGAAUGAUGUCUGGUCCUGUAUCUACCUGAGAAGAUGUAAGAUUCUUUCAUCCUUCUACUUGGCCAUCACAGACAACACAUGAAAACAGGUUUAAAAACUCCGUGAAGCGGAGGUGAACAUGUUUGAUUACCCUGUGCCUGUGGUGCCAGCAGAGAUAACCUUUGAAAUUACCCAAUCCUGAAAUUAAAUCAAAAGGAAAUAUAUUCAUUUAAUAAAAUGUAGUUGGUUGA
This is a long non-coding RNA of Python bivittatus (Burmese python), 620 nucleotides long. RefSeq lists it as uncharacterized. The record is from RefSeq and is a predicted model, not a curated record. NCBI's taxonomy places the organism in Eukaryota, Metazoa, Chordata, Lepidosauria, Squamata, Pythonidae.